This is a long non-coding RNA of Galleria mellonella (greater wax moth), 568 nucleotides long. RefSeq lists it as uncharacterized. The transcript is spliced from 4 exons. Lineage: Eukaryota; Metazoa; Arthropoda; Insecta; Lepidoptera; Pyralidae. The record is from RefSeq and is a predicted model, not a curated record.
UAAAUGUAAAAAUGAGUUUACUUGCUUUCAACGGUUUAACCAAAACACUAUAAAAUUUAAUAUAAACGUACUAUAUCAACCAUAUGGUACUGAGAAGGACAUAGGCUACUUAUUAUCCUGGGCAAGUGAUGGUUUGAUGGACAAAGUAUGGUGAAUGUAUUUUGGAUUAUCAUCAUUAUAAGCAGUCCCAUGAUGCCAUGGGUAAAAAAGUUGACAGGGAGCGUCAGGAAGAUCGAAGCCCGCCAUGGUUACAAGAACCCUUUAUCAUUCCUGCUGCUAUCAUACUACUGGUAUUCCUGGCAGCGACGCUGGUAUACGCCACACCGCCGACAUUCGGGUCCAAAUCGGUGCAGCUGCCACUCUUAUAGUCUAUGGUAGGAUCCUGGUGUACUGGCUCUCGCUGUACAUUACUGUCCAGCUGUGUGGCACUGCGAGCUGUCAGUCCAACGUACUUCAAACUCAUUUCGACGUCCACAAACGGGCGCCUACCUUCCUCUCUGGCCACACCCUCACAGCGUAGAAUGAAACAUCGCUCGUGUAUCGUCAACGCUCGCUCCGCAUUACAAAA